GAUGAACGCUGGCGGCGUGCCUAAUACAUGCCAGUCGAGCGAACAGACGAGGAGCUUGCUCCUCUGACGUUAGCGGCGGACGGGUGAGUAACACGUGGAUAACCUACCUAUAAGACUGGGAUAACUUCGGGAAACCGGAGCUAAUACCGGAUAAUAUAUUGAACCGCAUGGUUCAAUAGUGAAAGACGGUUUUGCUGUCACUUAUAGAUGGAUCCGCGCCGCAUUAGCUAGUUGGUAAGGUAACGGCUUACCAAGGCAACGAUGCGUAGCCGACCUGAGAGGGUGAUCGGCCACUCCGGAACUGAGACACGGUCCAGACUCCUACGGGAGGCAGCAGUAGGGAAUCUUCCGCAAUGGGCGAAAGCUUGACGGAGCAACGCCGCGUGAGUGAUGAAGGUCUUCGGAUCGUAAAACUCUGUUAUUAGGGAAGAACAAAUGUGUAAGUAACUAUGCACGUCUUGACGGUACCUAAUCAGAAAGCCACGGCUAACUACGUG
RNAcentral lists this ribosomal RNA (497 nucleotides) under uncultured bacterium. RNAcentral describes it as "partial 16S ribosomal RNA". It matches the Rfam family "Bacterial small subunit ribosomal RNA", at positions 28 to 507 of the family's 1533-position model. The record is from RNAcentral.